CUCAAUCCCUCUGUUACUGUCACUAUACCCCGCUCCCUCUAACAUGUAAACUCACUGAGCAGGGCCUCAAUCCCUCUGUUACUGUGUCACUAUAUUCCACUCCCUCUAACAUGUAAGCUCUUUGAGCAGGGCCCUCAACCCCUCUGUUCCUGUGUGUCCAACUUGUCUGGUUACAAAUACGUGUCUAUUAGUCCACCCAUUGUACAGCGCUUUGGAAUUUGUUGGCGCAUUAUAAAUACUAUUAAUCUCUAAUCAAGUCAGACUUUCAUAAGAGCAUUACCAUUGAGUUAGAAUCUAAC
Non-coding RNA from Pelobates cultripes (western spadefoot toad), 299 nucleotides. The record is from the annotation of a GenBank genome assembly. NCBI's taxonomy places the organism in Eukaryota, Metazoa, Chordata, Amphibia, Anura, Pelobatidae.